UCAGCCGCCGCGGUAAUACGGGAGUGGCAAGCGUUAUCCGGAAUUAUUGGGCGUAAAGCGUCCGCAGGCGGUCUGUCAAGUCUGCUGUUAAAGCGUGGAGCUUAACUCCAUUUCGGCAGUGGAAACUGACAGACUAGAGUGUGGUAGGGGCAGAGGGAAUUCCCGGUGUAGCGGUGAAAUGCGUAGAUAUCGGGAAGAACACCAGUGGCGAAGGCGCUCUGCUGGGCCAUAACUGACGCUCAUGGACGAAAGCCAGGGGAGCGAAAGGGAUUAGAUACCCCUGUAGUCCUGGCCGUAAACGAUGAACACUAGGUGUCGGGGGAAUCGACCCCCUCGGUGUCGUAGCCAACGCGUUAAGUGUUCCGCCUGGGGAGUACGCACGCAAGUGUGAAACUCAAAGGAAUUGACGGGGGCCCGCACAAGCGGUGGAGUAUGUGGUUUAAUUCGAUGCAACGCGAAGAACCUUACCAGGGUUUGACAUCCUGCGAAUCUCUUGGAAACGAGAGAGUGCCUUCGGGAACGCAGUGACAGGUGGUGCAUGGCUGUCGUCAGCUCGUGUCGUGAGAUGUUGGGUUAAGUCCCGCAACGAGCGCAACCCACGUCGUUAGUUGCCAGCAUUUAGUUGGGCACUCUAGCGAGACCGCCGGUGAUAAACCGGAGGAAGGUGUGGAUGACGUCAAGUCAUCAUGCCCCUUACAUCCUGGGCUACACACGUACUACAAUGCUACGGACAAAGGGCAGCAAACUCGCGAGAGCUAGCAAAUCCCAUAAACCGUGGCUCAGUUCAGAUCGUAGGCUGCAACUCGCCUACGUGAAGGAGGAAUCGCUAGUAAUCGCAGGUCAGCAUAC
This 849-nucleotide ribosomal RNA is filed under the name uncultured cyanobacterium. RNAcentral's name for it is "bacterial SSU rRNA". It matches the Rfam family "Bacterial small subunit ribosomal RNA", at positions 508 to 1357 of the family's 1533-position model. The record is from RNAcentral. Lineage: Bacteria; Bacillati; Cyanobacteriota.